GACGAACGCUGGCGGCGUGCUUAACACAUGCAAGUCGAACGGAAAGGCCCUGCUUUUGUGGGGUGCUCGAGUGGCGAACGGGUGAGUAACACGUGAGUAACCUGCCCUUGACUUUGGGAUAACUUCAGGAAACUGGGGCUAAUACCGGAUAGGAGCUCCUGCUGCAUGGUGGGGGUUGGAAAGUUUCGGCGGUUGGGGAUGGACUCGCGGCUUAUCAGCUUGUUGGUGGGGUAGUGGCUUACCAAGGCUUUGACGGGUAGCCGGCCUGAGAGGGUGACCGGCCACAUUGGGCCUGAGAUACGGCCCAGCCUCCUACGGGAGGCAGCAGUGGGGAAUAUUGCACAAUGGGCGGAAGCCUGAUGCAGCAACGCCGCGUGCGUGAUGACGGCCUUCGGGUUGUAAACCGCUUUCGCCUGUGACGAAGCGCGAGUGACGGUAAUGGGUAAAGAAGCACCGGCUAACUACGUG
This 468-nucleotide ribosomal RNA is filed under the name uncultured bacterium. Its description in RNAcentral is "partial 16S ribosomal RNA". It matches the Rfam family "Bacterial small subunit ribosomal RNA", at positions 28 to 507 of the family's 1533-position model. The record is from RNAcentral.